UGGGAACGUACCCUUCAGUUCGGAAUAACCCAGGGAAACUUGGGCUAAUACCGGAUACGUCCUGCCCCUUUAACAAGGGUGGGAGAAAGAUUUAUUGCUGAAGGGUCGGCCCGCGUCGGAUUAGCUAGUUGGUGAGGUAACGGCCCACCAAGGCAACGAUCCGUAGCUGGUCUGAGAGGAUGGCCAGCCACAUUGGGACUGAGAUACGGCCCAGACUCCUACGGGAGGCAG
RNAcentral lists this ribosomal RNA (231 nucleotides) under uncultured bacterium. RNAcentral describes it as "partial 16S ribosomal RNA". It matches the Rfam family "Bacterial small subunit ribosomal RNA", at positions 118 to 351 of the family's 1533-position model. The record is from RNAcentral.